AGAGUUUGAUCCUGGCUCAGAGUGAACGCUGGCGGUAUGCUUAACACAUGCAAGUCGAACGAGAACGGCCCUAGCUUGCUAGGGUGUCAGCUAAGUGGCGGACGGGUGAGUAAUGCAUAGCUAACCUGCCCCUAGGAUCGGAAUAACAGUUGGAAACGACUGCUAAUACCGGAUAUACUCUUCGGAGUGAAACGCUUUUGUGCCUAGGGAUGGGGCUAUGUCCUAUCAGUUAGUUGGUGAGGUAAUGGCUCACCAAGGCAAUGACGGGUAACUGGUCUGAGAGGAUGAACAGUCACACUGGAACUGAGACACGGUCCAGACUCCUACGGGAGGCAGCAGUGGGGAAUAUUGGGCAAUGGACGAAAGUCUGACCCAGCAAUACCGCGUGGAGGAUGACGCAUUUCGGUGUGUAAACUCCUUUUCUGUCAGAAGAUAAUGACGGUAUGACAGGAAUAAGCACCGGCUAACUCCGUGCCAGCAGCCGCGGUAAUACGGAGGGUGCAAGCGUUACUCGGAAUCACUGGGCGUAAAGAGUGUGUAGGCGGACUAUUAAGUCAGAUGUGAAAUGCUGUAGCUUAACUAUAGAAUUGCAUUUGAAACUGGUAGUCUAGAAUAUAUAAGAGGCAGGUGGAAUUAGCAGUGUAGGGGUAAAAUCCGUAGAUAUUGCUAGGAAUGCCAAUGGUGAAGACGACCUGCUGGGAUAAUAUUGACGCUGAGACACGAAAGCGUGGGGAGCAAACAGGAUUAGAUACCCUGGUAGUCCACGCCCUAAACGAUGAAUGCUAGUUGUCAGAGUGCUCGACACUUUGGUAAUGCAGUUAACACAUUAAGCAUUCCGCCUGGGGAGUACGGUCGCAAGGUUAAAACUCAAAGGAAUAGACGGGGACCCGCACAAGCGGUGGAGCAUGUGGUUUAAUUCGAAAAUACGCGAAGAACCUUACCUGGCCUUGACAUUGAUAGAACUUAGUAGAGAUACUGAGGUGCCUUUUCGGAGGAGCUUGAAAACAGGUGCUGCACGGCUGUCGUCAGCUCGUGUCGUGAGAUGUUGGGUUAAGCCCGCAACGAGCGCAACCCUCGUCCUUAGUUGCCAGCAUUUAGGUGGGAACUCUAAGGAGACUGCCAUCGCAAGGUGGAGGAAGGUGAGGACGACGUCAAGUCAUCAUGGCCCUUAUGGCCAGGGCAACACACGUGCUACAAUGGUAUAGAUAAUGAGAUGCAAUACUGCGAGGUGGAGCAAAUCUAUAAACUAUAUCCCAGUUCGGAUUGUUCUCUGCAACUCGAGAACAUGAAGUUGGAAUCGCUAGUAAUCGCAAAUCAGCUAUGUUGCGGUGAAUACGUUCCCGGGUCUUGUACUCACCGCCCGUCACACCAUGGGAGUUGAAUUCACCUUAAGCCGGGAAGCUAAGAUAGCUACCGUCCACGGUGGAUUUAGCGACUGGGGUGAAGUCGUAACAAGGUA
Molecule: ribosomal RNA, 1459 nt
Filed under: metagenome
Description: bacterial SSU rRNA
Rfam family: Bacterial small subunit ribosomal RNA
Source: RNAcentral